GACGAACGCUGGCGGCGUGCUUAACACAUGCAAGUCGAACGGGAACCUUUAUUUCGGUAAAGGUGAGAGUGGCAAACGGGUGAGUAACACGUAGGCAACCUGCCGACAGGAUGGGGACAACAUUCCGAAAGGAAUGCUAAUACCGAAUGAAGUCACCGGAGGGCAUCCUCUGGUGAUGAAAGAUGGCCUCUGAAUAUGCUAUCACCUGUCGAUGGGCCUGCGUCUGAUUAGCCAGUUGGCGGGGUAACGGCCCACCAAAGCGACGAUCAGUAGCCGGUCUGAGAGGAUGAACGGCCACAUUGGGACUGAGACACGGCCCAGACUCCUACGGGAGGCAGCAGUGGGGAAUCUUCCACAAUGGGCGAAAGCCUGAUGGAGCAACGCCGCGUGAGUGAAGAAGGUCUUCGGAUCGUAAAGCUCUGUUGCACGGGACGAAAACCGAGCUGAAAAUAUUG
Molecule: ribosomal RNA, 455 nt
Filed under: Selenomonas sputigena
Lineage: Bacteria; Bacillati; Bacillota; Negativicutes; Selenomonadales; Selenomonadaceae
Description: bacterial SSU rRNA
Rfam family: Bacterial small subunit ribosomal RNA
Source: RNAcentral